This 226-nucleotide unclassified non-coding RNA is filed under the name Hevea brasiliensis (rubber tree). Lineage: Eukaryota; Viridiplantae; Streptophyta; Magnoliopsida; Malpighiales; Euphorbiaceae. The record is from RNAcentral.
UAUCCAAUUGAACCAGCUGGACCAGGCCGGAUAACAUCACAUCUGAGUGCAAACAAAAACCCAUAAAAACUCAAUUUUUUACCUAGAAAAAAAAAAAGAAAAGCAAAUAAUGAACAUAGCAACAAUCAAGCACACAACUUUAAAUCAUCCAACAGCCAAAAACACUAAAUUAUUAGAACCACUAAAAUAUAUAUUUGUUUAAGAAAGAUAAAUGAUUCCCAAAUUC